This 100-nucleotide small nuclear RNA is filed under the name Sciurus vulgaris (Eurasian red squirrel). Lineage: Eukaryota; Metazoa; Chordata; Mammalia; Rodentia; Sciuridae. The record is from RNAcentral.
GUUCUCUCUUGUGUGGCACAUGUCCUAAAUUUGGAACAAUAUGGAGAAGAUUAGAAGAGCAAGGAUGAUACAUCAAUUCACAAAGAAGCCAUAUAUUCUU